This 397-nucleotide ribosomal RNA is filed under the name uncultured bacterium. Its description in RNAcentral is "partial 16S ribosomal RNA". It matches the Rfam family "Bacterial small subunit ribosomal RNA", at positions 338 to 732 of the family's 1533-position model. The record is from RNAcentral.
CCUACGGGUGGCAGCAGUGAGGAAUAUUGGUCAAUGGGCGCGAGCCUGAACCAGCCAAGUAGCGUGAAGGAUGACUGCCCUACGGGUUGUAAACUUCUUUUAUAAAGGAAUAAAGUGGGGCCCGUGUGCCUUUUUGUGUGUACUUUAUGAAUAAGGAUCGGCUAACUCCGUGCCAGCAGCCGCGGUAAUACGGAGGAUCCGAGCGUUAUCCGGAUUUAUUGGGUUUAAAGGGUGCGUAGGUGGGUUGUUAAGUCAGUUGUGAAAGUCUGCGGCUCAACCGUUAAAAUGCCAUUGAUACUGGUGGUCUUGAGUGCAGUUGAGGUAGGCGGAAUUCGUGUUGUAGCGGUGAAAUGCUUAGAUAUCACGCAGAACUCCGAUUGCGAAGGCAGCUUACCAA